This 811-nucleotide ribosomal RNA is filed under the name Staphylococcus sp. Its description in RNAcentral is "bacterial SSU rRNA". It matches the Rfam family "Bacterial small subunit ribosomal RNA", at positions 97 to 895 of the family's 1533-position model. Lineage: Bacteria; Bacillati; Bacillota; Bacilli; Caryophanales; Staphylococcaceae. The record is from RNAcentral.
GGCGGACGGGUGAGUAACACGUGGAUAACCUACCUAUAAGACUGGGAUAACUUCGGGAAACCGGAGCUAAUACCGGAUAAUAUAUUGAACCGCAUGGUUCAAUAGUGAAAGACGGUUUUGCUGUCACUUAUAGAUGGAUCCGCGCCGCAUUAGCUAGUUGGUAAGGUAACGGCUUACCAAGGCAACGAUGCGUAGCCGACCUGAGAGGGUGAUCGGCCACACUGGAACUGAGACACGGUCCAGACUCCUACGGGAGGCAGCAGUAGGGAAUCUUCCGCAAUGGGCGAAAGCCUGACGGAGCAACGCCGCGUGAGUGAUGAAGGUCUUCGGAUCGUAAAACUCUGUUAUUAGGGAAGAACAAAUGUGUAAGUAACUAUGCACGUCUUGACGGUACCUAAUCAGAAAGCCACGGCUAACUACGUGCCAGCAGCCGCGGUAAUACGUAGGUGGCAAGCGUUAUCCGGAAUUAUUGGGCGUAAAGCGCGCGUAGGCGGUUUUUUAAGUCUGAUGUGAAAGCCCACGGCUCAACCGUGGAGGGUCAUUGGAAACUGGAAAACUUGAGUGCAGAAGAGGAAAGUGGAAUUCCAUGUGUAGCGGUGAAAUGCGCAGAGAUAUGGAGGAACACCAGUGGCGAAGGCGACUUUCUGGUCUGUAACUGACGCUGAUGUGCGAAAGCGUGGGGAUCAAACAGGAUUAGAUACCCUGGUAGUCCACGCCGUAAACGAUGAGUGCUAAGUGUUAGGGGGUUUCCGCCCCUUAGUGCUGCAGCUAACGCAUUAAGCACUCCGCCUGGGGAGUACGACGCCAGGUU